UGCAUCAGCCGGGAAUCGAACCCGGGCGCCCGCGUGGCAGGCGAGUAUUCUACCACUGAACCAAAAGC
This 68-nucleotide transfer RNA is filed under the name Cordylochernes scorpioides. RNAcentral's name for it is "tRNA-Gly". Lineage: Eukaryota; Metazoa; Arthropoda; Arachnida; Pseudoscorpiones; Chernetidae. The record is from RNAcentral.